This 423-nucleotide ribosomal RNA is filed under the name uncultured bacterium. RNAcentral's name for it is "bacterial SSU rRNA". It matches the Rfam family "Bacterial small subunit ribosomal RNA", at positions 355 to 775 of the family's 1533-position model. The record is from RNAcentral.
UGAGGAAUAUUGGUCAAUGGGCGAGAGCCUGAACCAGCCAAGUAGCGUGAAGGAUGAAGGCUCUAUGGGUCGUAAACUUCUUUUAUAUGGGAAUAAAGUUUUCCACGUGUGGAAUUUUGUAUGUACCAUAUGAAUAAGGAUCGGCUAACUCCGUGCCAGCAGCCGCGGUAAUACGGAGGAUCCGAGCGUUAUCCGGAUUUAUUGGGUUUAAAGGGAGCGUAGGUGGAUUGUUAAGUCAGUUGUGAAAGUUUGCGGCUCAACCGUAAAAUUGCAGUUGAAACUGGCAGUCUUGAGUACAGUAGAGGUGGGCGGAAUUCGUGGUGUAGCGGUGAAAUGCUUAGAUAUCACGAAGAACUCCGAUUGCGAAGGCAGCUCACUAGACUGUCACUGACACUGAUGCUCGAAAGUGUGGGUAUCAAACAG